AUGUCCCCAGGUGUCCCCAAGUGUCCCCAAAUGUCCCCAAGUGCCCCCAAGUGUCCCCAAGUGUCCCCAAGUGUCCCCAGGUGUCCCCAAAUGUCCCCAGGUGUCCCCAAGUGUCCCCAAGUGUCUCCAAGUGUCCCCCUGCCAGGGACAAGGGGUCCCCAAAUGUCCCCAGGUGUCCCCAAAUGUCCCCAAGUGUCCCCAAAUGUCCCCAAGUGCCCCCAAGUGUCCCCAAGUGUCCCCAAGUGUCCCCAGGUGUCCCCAAAUGUCCCCAAGUGUCCCCAAGUGUCUCCAAGUGUCUCCAAGUGUCCCCCCUGUGCCCAGCGACAGGGUGUCCCCAAGUGUCCCCAGGUGUCCCCAGUGUCCCCUCCCAUGUACAGGAUGUCCCCAAAUGUCCCCAAGUGUCCCCCCGGCCAGGGACAAGUGUCCCCAAAUGUCCCCAAGUGUCCCCAAGUGUCCCCCCUGCCAGGGACAAGGUGUCCCCAAGUGUCCCCAAGUGUCCCCAGGUGUCCCCAGUGCCUCCCAGGCAGGGACAAGGGGUCCCCAGGUGUCCCCAAAUGUCCCCAAGUGUCCCCAGGUGUCCCCAGGUGUUCCCCUGUCAGGGACAAGGGGUCCCCAGGUGUCCCCAAGUGCCCCCCUGCCAGGUACAGGGUGUCCCCAAGUGUCCCCAAAUGUCCCCAAGUGUCCCCCAUGUCCCCCCUGCCAGGGACAAGGUGUCCCCAAAUGUCCCCAAGUGUCCCCAAAUGUCCCCAAGUGUCCCCCAUGUCCCCCCUGCCAGGGACAAGGUGUCCCCAAAUGUCCCCAAGUGUCCCCAAGUGUCCCCAAGUGUCCCCCCUGCCAGGGACAAGGUGUCCCCAAAUGUCCCCAGGUGUCCCCAGUGUCCCCCUGUCAGGGACAGGAUGUCCCCAAGUGUCCUCAAGUGUCCCCAAGUGUCCCCCUGCAAGGGACAAGGUGUCCCGAAGUGUCCCCAGGUGUCCCCAGGUGUCCCCAAGUGUCCCCCAUGUCCCCCAUGUCAGGGACAAGAGUGUCCCCAAGUGUCCCCCCGGCAAGGAAAAGGUGUCCCCAAAUGUUCCCAGGUGUCCCCCUGUCAGGGACAGGGUGUCCCAAAGUGUCCCCAAAUGUCCCCAAGUGUCUCCAAGUGUCCCCCUGCCAGGAACAGGGUGGCCCCAGGUGUCCCCAAGUGUCCCCAAGUGUCCUCCUGCUAGGGGCAAGGCGUCCCUAAGCGUCCUCAGGUGUCCCCAAGUGUCCCCAGCUGUCCCCCAUGUCAGGGACAAGAGUGUCCCCAAGUGUCCCCCUGCCCAUGGACAGGGUGCCCAGGUGCCCCAAGUGUCCCCCCUGCCAGGUACAGGGUGUCCCCAAGUGUCCCCAAAUGUCCCCAAGUGUCCCCAAGUGUCCCCCCUGCCAGGUACAGGGUGUCCCCAAGUGUCCCCAAGUGUCCCCAAAUGUCCCCAAGUGUCCCCCCUGCCAGGGACAAGAUGUCCCCAAAUGUCCCCAGGUGUCCCCAGUGUCCCCCUGUCAGGGACAGGAUGUCCCCAAGUGUCCUCAAGUGUCCCCAAGUGUCCCCCUGCAAGGGACAAGGUGUCCCGAAGUGUCCCCAGGUGUCCCCAGGUGUCCCCAAGUGUCCCCCAUGUCCCCCAUGUCAGGGACAAGAGUGUCCCCAAGUGUCCCCCCGGCAAGGAAAAGGUGUCCCCAAAUGUUCCCAGGUGUCCCCCUGUCAGGGACAGGGUGUCCCAAAGUGUCCCCAAAUGUCCCCAAGUGUCUCCAAGUGUCCCCCUGCCAGGAACAGGGUGGCCCCAGGUGUCCCCAAGUGUCCCCAAGUGUCCUCCUGCUAGGGGCAAGGCGUCCCUAAGCGUCCUCAGGUGUCCCCAAGUGUCCCCAGCUGUCCCCCAUGUCAGGGACAAGAGUGUCCCCAAGUGUCCCCCUGCCCAUGGACAGGGUGCCCAGGUGCCCCAAGUGUCCCCCCUGCCAAGUACAGGGUGUCCCCAAGUGUCCCCAAAUGUCCCCAAGUGUCCCCAGGUGUCCCCCCUGCCAGGGACAAGAUGUCCCCAAAUGUCCUCAAGUGUCCCCAAGUGUCCCCCAUGUCAGGGACAAGAGUGUCCCCAAGUGUCCCCCUGCCCAUGGACAGGGUGCCCAGGUGCCCCAGGUGUCCCCCCUGCCAGGGACAAGGUGUCCCCAAGUGUCCCCAAGUGUCCCCAAAUGUCCCCCCGCCCAGGGACAGGGUGUCCCAGUGCCCCCAAGUGUCCCCAGGUGUCCCCGGGUGUCCCCAAGUGUCCCCCUGCCAGACACAGGGUGUCCCCAAAUGUCCCCAAGUGUCCCCAGUGUCCCCUUGCCAGGUACAGGGUGUCCCCAAGUGUCCUCAAGUGUCCCCAAGUGUCCCCCUGCCAGGGACAAGGUGUCCCCACGUGUCCCCAAGUGCCCUCAAAUGUCCCCAGGUGUCCCCAAGUGUCCCCAAGUGUCCCCAAGUGUCCCCCUGCCAGGGACAAGGUGUCCCCACGUGUCCCCAAGUGUCCUCAGGUGUCCCCAGGUGUCCCCAAGUGUCCCCAAGUGUCUCCAAGUGUCCCCAAGUGUCCCCCCUGUGCCCAGCGACAGGGUGUCCCCAAGUGUCCUCAGGUGUCCCCAGGUGUCCCCAAGUGCCCCCAAGUGUCCCCAGGUGUCCCCAAGUGUCCCCUGCCAGGGACAAGGUGUCCCCAAGUGUCCCCAGGUGUCCCCCUGCCACCAGGGCCAGCCAGGAGGACGCGCCCCCAUCAGUGA
Molecule: long non-coding RNA, 2748 nt
Organism: Corvus moneduloides (New Caledonian crow)
Lineage: Eukaryota; Metazoa; Chordata; Aves; Passeriformes; Corvidae
Source: Ensembl